This is a small nuclear RNA of Dermacentor andersoni, 187 nucleotides long. RefSeq annotates it as U2 spliceosomal RNA. NCBI's taxonomy places the organism in Eukaryota, Metazoa, Arthropoda, Arachnida, Ixodida, Ixodidae. The record is from RefSeq and is a predicted model, not a curated record.
AUGGCCGACGCACGUAAAGGUGUAGUAUCUGCUCUUAUCAGCGUAACUCCUGAUAUGGGUUGUAUUUGAACAUAAUAUAUUAAACUUAUUUUUACAACUUGGCGGUGUGCUUAUAGCCUACUUCACCUCCGCCACGGGUUGGAGGUCGGUCCACUAUUGCACAAUCUUCGGGAUGAGCCCACAUUCU